UACGUAGGUGACCAGCGUUGUCCGGAUUUACUGGGCGUAAAGAGCUCGUAGGCGGUUUGUCGCGUCUGCUGUGAAAACUCGGGGCUUAACCCCGGGCCUGCAGUGGGUACGGGCAGACUAGAGUGCGAUAGGGGAGACUGGAAUUCCUGGUGUAGCGGUGAAAUGCGCAGAUAUCAGGAAGAACACCUAUGGCGAAGGCAGCUCUCUGGGACGGUACUGACGCUGAGACGCGAAAGCGUGGGGAGCGAACAGG
Molecule: ribosomal RNA, 253 nt
Filed under: uncultured bacterium
Lineage: Bacteria
Description: partial 16S ribosomal RNA
Rfam family: Bacterial small subunit ribosomal RNA
Source: RNAcentral